GACGAACGCUGGCGGCGUGCUUAACACAUGCAAGUCGAACGGAAAGGCCUGCUUUCCCUUGUGGAUUGCGGGUACUCGAGUGGCGAACGGGUGAGUAACACGUGAGUGAUCUGCCCCCAACUUGGGUAUAAGCCUGGGAAACUGGGUCUAAUUCCCGAUAGGACUGCAGGGUGGUGCCUGUGGUGGAAAACGAUUUUCUAGUGGUUGGGGAUGAGCUCGCGGCCUAUCGGCUUGUUGGUGGGGUAAUGGCCUACCAAGGCGGCGACGGGUAGCCGGCCUGGGAGGGUGGACGGCCACAUUGGGACUGAGAUACGGCCCAGACUCCUACGGGAGGCAGCAGUGGGGAAUAUUGCACAAUGGGCGGAAGCCUGAUGCAGCGACGCCGCGUGGGGGAUGACGGCCUUCGGGUUGUAAACUCCUUUCGACCGCGAGGAAGCCACCUGGUUGGAAGGGUGGUGACGGUAGUGGUAGAAGAAGCACCGGCUAACUACGUG
RNAcentral lists this ribosomal RNA (494 nucleotides) under uncultured bacterium. RNAcentral's name for it is "partial 16S ribosomal RNA". It matches the Rfam family "Bacterial small subunit ribosomal RNA", at positions 28 to 507 of the family's 1533-position model. The record is from RNAcentral.